Lacerta agilis (Sand lizard) is the source of this 730-nucleotide long non-coding RNA. RefSeq lists it as uncharacterized. The record is from RefSeq and is a predicted model, not a curated record. NCBI's taxonomy places the organism in Eukaryota, Metazoa, Chordata, Lepidosauria, Squamata, Lacertidae. The transcript is spliced from 3 exons.
AAGAAAGAGCCAGUGGUCAUACCUAGAAGACUCUCAAAGCCUAGAGGAUUAGUUCCCUUUCUCAUGUGACAUCAUAGCAAGCAAGGUUAUUUCAGGAGAUGGACCGUGUUGCUCAUACAAAACAGGUGAUUUAUCUUCUUGAAAACAGCAGAAGUUCACAGUCGGAAUUACAGCGAAGAGCAAGCAGAAAAGAAUUAUUGCACUCACAUGGAUGGCACUGCAAUUGCAAGCUGCUGCAGAAUUUCAUACUGCUUCCCUUUCCUUCAUAGUACACUGAGUUUCUACACUGACUAAGAAACAUGGCCUUCUACAUACUGUAAAUUAUGGAAAUCAAUCUACAACUGCUGCAAUGCAACACUAGUCUGACAUCCAGGCAGCACUUUGCGAGCCUCUGGGCUGUAUGUUUAUGGCUUGAAAUGGGUGGCAUGCAGGCAUGAUAAUGGCUACAGAAGCAAUCAAGGAGAACCUUGAAAAUACAUAGGAAGUGAUGGAAUAAUCUAUGACUAUAACACCAGCAUUUUUAUACGAGGUUCUCUUCAGUAGCAUCAAUCAGCUGCCCUAGCAGAAAAUCCUUACUAUUAUCACCACCAGCUGCUAGGUUUUCCAAGUGACAACAAAAUCAGCCUAGACUUCUUUGUCUUAAACAACAACUACUGAAAUCAGCAGGUGGAACUUUUCGCAACUUGGGAGGUAUUCAUGUGAUACCGGAUUGCAGGGAGAAUGGGAUCAC